Molecule: long non-coding RNA, 2003 nt
Filed under: Nicotiana tabacum (common tobacco)
Lineage: Eukaryota; Viridiplantae; Streptophyta; Magnoliopsida; Solanales; Solanaceae
Description: long non-coding RNA (NTAB_LNC002731)
Source: RNAcentral
UUUAUUCACAGACAUGGUUGGCCAGAAAUGAAAGCAGGCACAAUUAAUCUACUAAACUAAUUGAACCAUGAUUAAAUACUUUCAGUAAACUGAAUUGAUGCUAGAUUUAAACACGAUUGACAACUAAUUCAUACAUAUGAAAAUCUGAGAUAGAAUAUACAUUAGAGUGAUGCUUUAAGCUAGUUACAUAAUCAAAUGAACUGAUAGUUUUCUACAAUGGCCACAUCUCGUGAUCCUUUUGGCUUGUUAGAGCUUUGUGACAAAAUAGCUACAAAUCUAUCCUCACUUGUUAAAUUCAAACACUAUGCUGAGCAAAUUGAAAGAAAGCAUGAAACCAGAUUCCUGCAUCACUUCACAAUUAAGUGUACAUAAUGAGGCUCGCACACCAUUCAGGAAGAAAGAAAAGAAAAAAAGAAGACAGAAUGACAUUCAAACAGAUGCUAAAUCACCUAUUGACAUUCAACAAACCACUCACAUGAUCUUAACAUUCCAACAAUUACACAUAUUAACAAAGAUGAAAACUACAAUAGAUUUAGACUUUAAACAUGCUGAAACUACUAAAACAUUGCAAGAGUAUAGCAUAACCAACCCAACUUCAUUUAGAAUUCAAGUAGAAGCUAACAAGGUGGAAAACGCACCUACUAGCAGUGAAACAGAGAAACACGGAGCAAUCUGAACUUCAAAGCUACAGCUCAAACCAGCAGAAUGAAUACAACAGCAAAAAUAAUGAGUUUUUCAACUCAAACAGCUAUGGAAACCAAGAUAUAUGCAAUAACAGAGUAGGAAUAAAACACAACUUUGAAUCUUCUUUUUGUUUUUGGGUUUUUUCUGUAUUUAGAUGGAAUUUUCAUAAUGUUUUCUUUGAGGGAAAUCAGUGAGAAUUGAGGAUUGAGGAUUGAGUGAAUAUAUGUGUGAUUUCUGCAGAGAAUUAGUCUAUGUGAGUGAGGGAAUUGAGGUAUCUUAUAUAGGGAGUGUACUAUAUGAGAGAAUGAGAGAGAGUGUAUAGGGGAAUCUGUCAGCCUCCCUAAAAAAUAGGAAAAGAGCAUCUUUUCUAAACAGAAAUGGACAGCUGUCCAAUUCAAAUGAUUCCUUCCUAUUUCUCCACCCCACUAACUUCUGAAUUUACCCUUUUUACCCCAAUUCUGACAUAAUUUUCCUUGUCUUAUUGCAUUUUAAUCCUUGCCUAGAAGCUUCCUACAUAACUACCUAAGAUUCCCUAUUUUUCAGAUUCCCUUAGCCCCGUCAAGUUUCUAACAACUACAAAUAAAAUACACCAAAGAAACAAGAGAUAAAAAACAGACAAACAAUAUGCUGAAACUAAAUUAAUGACCUGCUUCAAUAUCCAACUAAUUCUGGACCAAUUAACCUAAAUUUAUGCAAUUAAACUAAUUUCAUGUAAUUGGACUACUGAUUAUACAAUUAAUUGUUUAAAUCUAAGGAUGCAAACAAGUAAUUACCAAACCGGAUGCAAGAGUACAAUUAAUCCAUGAACUAAGCUAUUCUAGCAAAAACUAAAUUAAACAAGCAAAACAAUUUCAAUUAGAUGCUGAUUAAUAGACAAGACAGUGAGUAUAUGAUAGAACGAGAUGUUGGUAUACCGAUUGGAACACACACUGGAGGAGGAAAUGGCCAAACAACGAGGUUCGAACGGAUUCUGGUGGUUUCGAAAUGAAUCGAAACUAACGUAUAUCGAUUGCUCUUGUCAAGAGUAGUCGAUUCACGUAAGUUUCAAGCCAAAACGACUAGCAAAUCAUUGAGAGUCAGAGAUGGGACGAACUCAGCUUUUUCUGGAAAUCAAGAUCUAAUAUUGGGCGAGUUCUAGUGGGUUUCGAAGGGCGAGGUUAGGAUAUUUGGAAAGAGGGGGAAAUAGAGGUUGUCUGGUGUUAGUUUGGUGGUGUUUGGAGUGGUGCCGCCGGUCAGGGAUAGAUUUGGUGACUGAGGGCCGCUAGGGUUUGAGAGAGAGUGAGGAAUUAAAAAUUGUCUCUAGGGUUUGGGGUGUCUGU